Molecule: small RNA, 2781 nt
Filed under: Pan troglodytes (chimpanzee)
Lineage: Eukaryota; Metazoa; Chordata; Mammalia; Primates; Hominidae
Description: retained intron
Source: RNAcentral
AGAAAACCACAGGGCGCGGGGCCAGGGCGGCGGCCCCCAGGGAGUUGGCAGGAUGGCAGAGGGCAAGGCAGGCGGCGCGGCCGGCCUCUUCGCCAAGCAAGUGCAGAAGAAGUUUAGCAGGGCCCAGGAGAAGGUGCUGCAGAAAUUGGGGAAAGCUGUAGAAACCAAAGAUGAACGAUUUGAACAAAGCGCUAACAACUUCUACCAACAACAGGCAGAAGGCCACAAGCUGUACAAGGACCUGAAGAACUUCCUUAGUGCAGUCAAAGUGAUGCAUGAAAGUUCAAAAAGAGUGUCAGAAACCCUGCAGGAGAUCUACAGCAGUGAGUGGGACGGUCAUGAGGAGCUGAAGGCCAUCGUAGGGGUAAGAGUGGCUUGAGUUUUACAACUUAUUGGCACUUACUCCUGUUUGCAUCUCAACCUCAGCUUAGCUUCUCUAUCCAAGAAAAUAGGAAAACAAAGGAGCCAGUUCACACUGUGCAUUUGUGUAGCCUCAGUCACUGGGUGGUAGGAAGAAGCUACAACUCUUAAGGUAAAAACAAGUUUUCCCUAAUCUGUGGAUCCCUCUAAUUUUGACCCUCUUCUCCUCUUUAAAACAUUAUGGGAAGUUUUACCUCCUAAAGAUUGGUUGUUUUUUAAAACAAACUUCAUGCAGUUAUACACUCUUAAACUUUCCCAUCUAAGCUCUGGAGUCCAAGGCUUUGACCUUGUGCCCUGUUCUUAAUCUCUGAAUGUAUGUUCAGACUCCCAUAGAGCAGUUCCUUGGGGUAGGGGCUGUCUCUUUUCUUCCUCUGACUAGUCCCCGGAAUCCAACAUGGUAUUCUAAAUACGGUGCUACAAAAAAGGUUUUUGCAGGGAGAAUUUGGGUAUUUCCCUGGUAGGCAGUUGCUGUUGGGAAGUGGAGCCUUCACCAGCCUCUGACUCUAUCCUACAGAAUAAUGAUCUCCUUUGGGAAGACUACGAGGAGAAACUGGCUGACCAGGCUGUGAGGACCAUGGACAACUAUGUUGCCCAGUUCAGUGAAAUUAAGGAGAGAAUUGCCAAGCGGGGUCGGAAACUCGUGGACUAUGACAGUGCCCGACAUCACCUGGAGGCAGUUCAGAAUGCCAAGAAGAAAGAUGAGGCCAAGACUGCCAAGGCAGAGGAAGAGUUCAACAAAGCCCAGACUGUGUUUGAAGAUCUGAACCAAGAACUACUAGAGGAGCUGCCUAUUCUUUAUAAUAGUCGUAUUGGCUGCUAUGUGACCAUCUUCCAAAACAUUUCCAACUUGAGGGAUGUCUUCUACAGGGAAAUGAGCAAGCUGAACCACAAUCUCUACGAGGUGAUGAGCAAACUGGAGAAGCAACAUUCCAAUAAAGUCUUUGUGGUGAAGGGACUGUCAAGCAGCAGCAGGCGCUCUUUAGUCAUUUCUCCCCCAGUUCAAACAGCUACAGUCUCCAGUCCUCUUACCUCACCUACUAGUCCCUCUACACUUUCCUUGAAGAGUGAGAGUGAAUCUGUCUCAGCAACUGAAGAUCUGGCACCUGACGCAGCCCAGGGGGAAGACAAUUCUGAGAUCAAGGAGCUCUUAGAAGAGGAGGAAAUAGAGAAGGAAGGAUCUGAAGCAAGCUCCUCUGAGGAAGAUGAGCCUCUACCAGCCUGCAAUGGCCCCGCCCAGGCUCAGCCCUCUCCUACCACUGAGAGUGCCAAGUCCCAGGAGGAAGUUCUCCCCAGCUCCCCAGCUCCAUCACCAGGCGGAGCCCUGAGCCCUUCAGGGCAGCCUUCAUCAUCUGCCGCAGAAGUAGUCCUCCGAACCCGCACCGCAAGUGAAGGAUCUGAACAACCAAAGAAGAGAGCCUCUAUCCAGAGGACCUCAGCACCCCCUAGUAGGCCUCCUCCACCCAGAGCCACUGCAAGCCCCAGGCCCUCCUCAGGGAACAUACCUUCCAGCCCUACAGCCUCUGGAGGGGGUUCACCCACCAGCCCUAGGGCCUCCUUGGGGACUGGGACUCCAAGUCCUAGGACCUCCCUAGAGGUCUCUCCUAAUCCAGAACCACCAGAGAAGCCAGUAAGAACUCCUGAGGCCAAAGAAAAUGAAAACAUCCACAAUCAGAACCCCGAAGAACUUUGUACUUCCCCCACCUUAAUGACAUCUCAGGUUGCUUCAGAGCCUGGAGAGGCAAAGAAGAUGGAAGACAAGGAAGAGGAUAAUAAGCUUAUCUCAGCUGACUCCUCAGAGGGCCAAGACCAGCUUCAAGUCUUCACGGUACCAGAAAACAACAACCUCACAGCACCUGAACCUCAAGAAGAGGUAUCUACAAGUGAAAAUCCACAACUCUGAAGAGAAACUGCCAAGACUCCUCCUGCCCCAAACCUCACCAGAGAAGCUCUUCAACCAGAGGGUAUAGGUCAGAGGGAUAUAAGAGCCAGCAUCCAUCCCUGGGUUCUCAGUAGGAAUGCUGGUGCUGUCUAAAGACCUGGCAUUAAUGGAGGCGGAGGAGCAGCCUUAUGGGAGGGAUGGAGGGAGGCAGGCUGGGGAGAAGAGAACAUUAGACUCAGGGAAUAUUUAAUUCUGGUUUUAGCAUUAUUAGAAUAAGACUUUAUACAUUAACUAAAGUGGAGCUUUAAUCACUAUAAAAAGCAAAAGUAUCUAUAGACACAGACACUUGUCUAUACAGAGACAUAACCACACACACUCAGAGGAUAGUGAACAAAUCUGUCUUUGACUUACGACCCAUUUUGCAAGACUUAAAGCCAGAAGAACACAUUUUCAGAUUGUUAAAUAAAGUCUGAUUCUGACUA